GAGUUCAGGAACAGAGGACCUUGAGUGCAAGGGAACAGCUGGCCCACCGCCACUUGUCCAACAGCUUCGGCAUUAUUGAACGAUGGACUCAGAUAAAACUCAUUGAGGUCAGCAUUAGCUUGUGCAAGGAAGUUUGGAUUUACAUACGGCCUAGUAAGGAUUUUCUGGAAGUCUUCGAAACUAAAAGAAUCAUCAGAUUGAGUUUGUGAAGUCGCCAUUGGGAACAAAGUACAGUUUUUUAAGGUUUGCCUGAGAAACGUAGCAGAGAAGUAAGAAGAUGAACAGUAAAAUAGCGAGGAUGAAGCGCGAAAUAUAGAGACGUGGUUUGGUGGUGCGAUGAAAUGGCGUGUCUUUUGGGUUUAGAAGGGUUUGUAACGUUACACCUUUUCAGGCUGUAGAAGGAAAUAAUAAUUGAAAUUCUUGGGAAUUUCAAAUAUUGCUACAAAAUACGAAGUGAAUAAGGCAAAGAUUAAUAAUUGAUAUUAAUUCUGCCAUACUGGGGGGUAAUUGUUGACACACUAAAAGUAUAGCCCAAAUCAAAUAGCACAAAGAGUGAAGCCCAAUUGGGGAAUUCAGGAUAAAGGUCCAAACAGGAUUAUUGAUGAAUGCGACGGAAGCCCACGAACACGGUAACAUCAUCGCCCAAGCUUGCAAAAUGCCCAGAAUCUGAGCAAAUGGAGUACCUUACGGUCGUCUAGAGCGAUGACCCCGUUCUCACCCAAACCUUCGAAUCGCCCAGGAUCUUAACAAGUAUAAAACAUUAUGGUUAUUCAGAAUAGCAGUUUAUUGAAGCAGUUAUUGAGUGAUCUUAUCACAUUCCACGAUUCAAGGAGUCCAAAUGAAGGCGGUUGAACGACAAAGAGUUAUGACAACAGUUAGAGAGCAGUUCCAC
Molecule: long non-coding RNA, 892 nt
Filed under: Olea europaea (common olive)
Lineage: Eukaryota; Viridiplantae; Streptophyta; Magnoliopsida; Lamiales; Oleaceae
Description: long non-coding RNA (OEUR_LNC003302)
Source: RNAcentral